Molecule: transfer RNA, 73 nt
Filed under: archaeon
Lineage: Archaea
Description: tRNA-Lys
Rfam family: tRNA
About the family: Transfer RNA (tRNA) molecules are approximately 80 nucleotides in length. Their secondary structure includes four short double-helical elements and three loops (D, anti-codon, and T loops).
Source: RNAcentral
GGGCUCGUAGCUCAGCUGGCAGAGCACUGGACUUUUAAUCCAGGUGUCGCGGGUUCAAAUCCCGUCGAGCCCA